Molecule: ribosomal RNA, 459 nt
Filed under: uncultured bacterium
Lineage: Bacteria
Description: bacterial SSU rRNA
Rfam family: Bacterial small subunit ribosomal RNA
Source: RNAcentral
UACGGGAGGCAGCAGUAGGGAAUCUUCCGCAAUGGGCGAAAGCCUGACGGAGCAACGCCGCGUGAGUGAAGAAGGUCUUCGGAUCGUAAAACUCUGUUAUUAGGGAAGAACAAAUGUGUAAGUAACUAUGCACGUCUUGACGGUACCUAAUCAGAAAGCCACGGCUAACUACGUGCCAGCAGCCGCGGUAAUACGUAGGUGGCAAGCGUUAUCCGGGAAUUAUUGGGCGUAAAGCGCGCGUAGGCGGUUUUUUUAAAGUCUGAUGUGAAAGCCCACGGCUCAACCGUGAGGGUCAUUGGAAACUGGAAACUUGAGUGCAGAAGAGGAAAGUGGAAUUCCAUGUGUAGCGGUGAAAUGCGCAGAGAUAUGGAGGAACACCAGUGGCGAAGGCGACUUUUCUGGGUCUGUAACUGACGCUGAUGUGCGAAAGCGUGGGGAUCAAACGAGGAUUAGGAUACC